RNAcentral lists this ribosomal RNA (433 nucleotides) under uncultured bacterium. RNAcentral describes it as "partial 16S ribosomal RNA". It matches the Rfam family "Bacterial small subunit ribosomal RNA", at positions 29 to 507 of the family's 1533-position model. The record is from RNAcentral.
AACGAACGCUGGCGGCAUGCCUAACACAUGCAAUUCGAACGAGACCUUCGGGUCUAGUGGCGCACGGGUGCGUAACGCGUGGGAACCUGCCCUUAGGUUCGGAAUAACUCCCCGAAAGGGGUGCUAAUACCGGAUAAUGUCUUCGGACCAAAGAUUUAUCGCCUUUGGAUGGGCCCGCGUUGGAUUAGCUAGUUGGUAGGGUAAAAGCCUACCAAGGCGACGAUCCAUAGCUGGUCUGAGAGGAUGAUCAGCCACACUGGGACUGAGACACGGCCCAGACUCCUACGGGAGGCAGCAGUGGGGAAUAUUGGACAAUGGGCGAAAGCCUGAUCCAGCAAUGCCGCGUGAGUGAUGAAGGCCUUAGGGUUGUAAAGCUCUUUUACCCGGGAUGAUAAUGACAGUACCGGGAGAAUAAGCUCCGGCUAACUCCGUG